GAUGAACGCUGGCGGCGUGCCUAAUACAUGCAAGUCGAGCGAACAGACGAGGAGCUUGCUCCUCUGACGUUAGCGGCGGACGGGUGAGUAACACGUGGAUAACCUACCUAUAAGACUGGGAUAACUUCGGGAAACCGGAGCUAAUACCGGAUAAUAUAUUGAACCGCAUGGUUCAAUAGUGAAAGACGGUUUUGCUGUCACUUAUAGAUGGAUCCGCGCCGCAUUAGCUAGUUGGUAAGGUAACGGCUUACCAAGGCAACGAUGCGUAGCCGACCUGAGAGGGUGAUCGGCCACACUGGAACUGAGACACGGUCCAGACUCCUACGGGAGGCAGCAGUAGGGAAUCUUCCGCAAUGGGCGAAACCCUGACGGAGCAACGCCGCGUGAGUGAUGAAGGUCUUCGGAUCGUAAAACUCUGUUAUUAGGGAAGAACAAAUGUGUAAGUAACUAUGCACGUCUUGACGGUACCUAAUCAGAAAGCCACGGCUAACUACGUG
RNAcentral lists this ribosomal RNA (497 nucleotides) under uncultured bacterium. Its description in RNAcentral is "partial 16S ribosomal RNA". It matches the Rfam family "Bacterial small subunit ribosomal RNA", at positions 28 to 507 of the family's 1533-position model. The record is from RNAcentral.